Molecule: non-coding RNA, 934 nt
Organism: Chiloscyllium plagiosum (whitespotted bambooshark)
Lineage: Eukaryota; Metazoa; Chordata; Chondrichthyes; Orectolobiformes; Hemiscylliidae
Source: RefSeq, a predicted model, not a curated record
CUUUUCAGCGCCCAGGGAAGCGAGGGAACAGCAGGCUCCUUCCAGCAGCACAUCGGGAUGGGAGACCGGGAUUGAUUCGGGGCAAGUACUCAAAGGACCAAGACAAUGUAAUAUUCCCACGGUACAGAGCCAAGUGUGACCAGCUGCUUCAAACAAACAGCAGGACAAGGCCAUCUCUGCCAAGGUGGGAAGUGGAUGCAAUUGCGAAACGUCCUUGAACCAAUCGACUUGCUCAGCCAGAGGCAGUGAAGAGUUUGCAAAGGGUUAGGAGUCAAAUGCAGAGAAGACCAGGACAACCAGAACUGGACACAAUACACCAGAUUUGUUUUUGCGGAUCUUCCCAAUCAGGUCUGUCCUCACUCGCACCCUCAGCUUGUUCUUCCAUCGCCUCCCUUGAAAUCAAAUAUUUCCAGAUCAUGACCCAACCAAGUUCCAAUCCCGCUCGUGACAACAAUUUGCUGCGGUUUGCGUACAAAACUCCCUGGCAACGAGAUGCUGCCGACCUGCUGAGUUUCUGAAGCAAAUUUUUAGUGUUCACGUCAAGACUUCAGCUGGACCCCAGUGAAGAAUGAGCACAGAUCAAAGAUGAAGAAUGAAUUACCUGGCUCUGUGAGGUUGAUGGAAUUCCUGGUCACAUUAAGUAUCGUCCCAACCCCUAUUGAUUGCGACGCACUGGUGUCUGCCUUGGUGCUGGGACUGGAAGGAUUCAAUGGCCAGCUCUCUCCUGUCUGAGCUAAAGUUGUAAUUCCUGCUGGCAUUGUUUAAUGCUUAGCAUUGAAAGUACGGUCCUGUACCUCGACACAAUACACACUCUCGAACAAGACUAUUCCCAAGUGGAACCUCCAUUUUAUUGACUCUGGGGGUGAGGAAAACCCCAGCAACAGGAACUGGAACAAAACAAGACAAAGAGGAAAUAAAAUAUUGGAUGUUGAAA